This 255-nucleotide ribosomal RNA is filed under the name uncultured bacterium. RNAcentral's name for it is "partial 16S ribosomal RNA". It matches the Rfam family "Bacterial small subunit ribosomal RNA", at positions 524 to 776 of the family's 1533-position model. The record is from RNAcentral.
GACGAGGGGCGCGGGUGUUAUUCGUUUUGAUUGGGUGUAAAGGGUACGUAGACGGCUACUGACAUUAAUGCCUGAAAACGCGGAGUGUUCCUACGCGAAUGGUCGUUGAAUAACGUAGCUUGUGUUGGUUUAGUGGUUGGGGCAAUUUCAUGUGUAGGGGUAGAAUGCCGACAUAUAUGAAGGAACGCCUACUAGCGAAGGCACCUUUCCAGCGUCAACAGACGUUGAGGUACGGAAGCUCAGGUAUCAAACAGG